AAACCAACCGGGAUUGCCUUAGUAACGGCGAGUGAAGCGGCAAGAGCUCAAAUUUGAAAUCUGGUACCUGCGGUGCCCGAGUUGUAAUUUGUAGAGCAGCACUUUGGGACGGCCUUUGCCUAUGUUCUUUGGAACAAGACGUCAUGGAGGGUGAUAAUCCCGUGUGGCGGGGGUGGCGUUCCUAUGUGAGUGUUGUUCGACGAGUCGAGUUGUUUGGGAAUGCAGCUCUAAGUGGGUGGUAUACUCCAUCUAAAGCUAAAUAUCAGCGAGAGACCGAUAGCGAACAAGUACAGUGAUGGAAAGAUGAAAAGAACUUUGAAAAGAGAGUGAAAAAGUACGUGAAAUUGUUGAAAGGGAAGGGCAUUUGAUCAGACAUGGCAUGUACUGCCCUGUGCUCCUUGUGGGUGCGGGAAUCUCGGUGCUUGCUGGGCCAGCAUGAGUUUUGGGGCUUUGACAAAGACUAGGGAACGUGGCUUUGCACAUUGUGUGAAGUGUUAUAGCCCUUGUUAAUGGAGGCACCUGGGACUGAGGUCUGCGACAUAGUCAAGGAUGCUGGCAUAAUGGUUAAAUGCCGCCCGUC
RNAcentral lists this ribosomal RNA (580 nucleotides) under Tetrapisispora namnaoensis. RNAcentral's name for it is "eukaryotic LSU rRNA". It matches the Rfam family "Eukaryotic large subunit ribosomal RNA", at positions 62 to 653 of the family's 3401-position model. The record is from RNAcentral. Lineage: Eukaryota; Fungi; Ascomycota; Saccharomycetes; Saccharomycetales; Saccharomycetaceae.